RNAcentral lists this long non-coding RNA (1221 nucleotides) under Ricinus communis (castor bean). RNAcentral describes it as "long non-coding RNA (RCOM_LNC003439)". The record is from RNAcentral. Lineage: Eukaryota; Viridiplantae; Streptophyta; Magnoliopsida; Malpighiales; Euphorbiaceae.
GUUUGCGUCGGCACAAGUUAAGUUGAAGAACUGAUGAUUAAUUAGAAGCUGACACUUGGAAAGUUAAGUUAUUUAUUCUUUAGCUAAAUAUAAGUUUUUAAUUUCCUUAUUAUGUUCACUAUCUCAAUAUCUAUUUCUAAGGUUAGUAGCUUUACCUAAUCUCUAAAUAAUUUCAUGAUAGAGUUAGUAGCUAAUCUUUAAUUUUAUUAAGUUGCAUGGUGGAGUCAAUCCAAAAGUCAUGUUGGGAUUUUUUAAUAUUUUUGUUUGAAUAACUUCUUUUGUUUGAUGUUUGAACUGAAUUGAUUGUAAUAUAGUGUGAUGAUUGUUAAUUAGAAAUAGAAAAUUUAUAAACUCUAAUAUGUUAAAAUGUUAUGUUCUUGAAGGUUGGAGCUCGAAGAACAUAAGGUUUGCGUCGUCACAAGUUAAGUUGAAAAUCUUAUGAUCAGUUAGAAGCUGAUACUUAAAAGGUUAGGUUCUUUAUUCUUUAGCUAAAUAUGACUUUUUAAUUUUCUUAUUUUAUUUACUAUUUCAAUUUAUAUUUCAAAGGUUAGUACCUCUACCUCGUCUUUAAAUAAUUCCACGAUAGGGUUAGUAGCUAAUUUUUUAUUUUAUUAAGUUACGUGGUGGUGUUCCUUCAAAAGUCAUGUUGGGUUAUUUUACUUCUUUUGUUUGCUAAUUAGAAAUAGAAAAUUUAUAAACUCUAAUUUAUGAAAAUUGGCAUGCGCAUGAAGGUUGGAGCUCGAAGAACAUAAGGUUUGCUUCGGCACAAGUUAAGUUGAAAAACUUAUGAUCAGUUACAAGCUGAUACUUGAAAGGUUAAGUUCUUUAUUCUUUAGCUAAAUAUGACUUUUUAAUUUUCUUAUUUUUUUUACUAUAUCAAUAUCUAUUUCCAAGGUUAAUAAUACAUCUACCUCGUCUUUAAAUAAUUUCAUGAUAGGGUUAGUAGCUAAUUUUUAAUUUUAUUAAGUUGAAUGGUGGUGUUCCUUCAAAAGUCAUGUUGGGUUAUUUUACUUCUUUUGUUUGCUAAUUAGAAAUAGAAAAUUUAUAAACUCUAAUUUUUGAAAAAUGGCAUACGCUUGAAGGUUGGAAAUCGAAGAACAUAAGGUUUGCGUCGGCACAAGUUAAGUUGAAAAACUUAUGAUCAGUUAGAAGCUGAUACUUGAAAGGUUAAGUUCUUUAUUCUUUAGCUAAAUAUGACUUUUUGAUUUUCUUAUUUUGUUU